Molecule: long non-coding RNA, 1222 nt
Organism: Passer montanus (Eurasian tree sparrow)
Lineage: Eukaryota; Metazoa; Chordata; Aves; Passeriformes; Passeridae
Exons: 3
Source: RefSeq, a predicted model, not a curated record
CUGAGAAGCAGCAGGCACUGUUAGAGCAGCUGCUCUAAAGAAAUAAGAUGAAGAUAUAAAGCAAAGAUAAGCCCAGAGGCACAUUCUAGGGCUGAUGGGCACCUGCAGGAAUGGAAGACAACAGUGAUGGCAAGAGAAGAAACCAAAGAUGGGAAGACAAAUUAAAAAAGAAGUGGUUAAAAAAAGGGCUGAAGACAGUGCAGAGCAGAAGCAGCCGUGAAGCUGUGUGAGUGAUCUGAGCAAAAGUGAUGGAAAAGCAGAUGCAACAUGGUUGAGGCUGAGAGGAACCAAAUUCUGAUGGAGGCAGACAAAUGAAGAAUAAUUGCUCCCAGAGGCACAGAGAGAUGAAGAAUGGACUACCAUUGGAUAAAGUUUUGGAAAAACAUGGGUCUUGGCUUCUUGAAUACUCCAGCAAGUGGCACCCUGUCAUCUUUCCCUGCCAUCUGAAAGUAGAGAUUUCAGGCUGGACAUGGACAAAUUCACUGUGCUACUGUCUAAAACAUGAUUUUGUCCUAAGGAAAAUUACACUGGGCGAGAGAUCACAACAUAUGAUGACAUUUAUCUCCUGGAAUCUUCUAGAUGUAUUUAUAAAAUUUAAGGCUGAAGAACUAAUGCAAAAUAUCAGAUCUAAUUUAGAAAGUUCAAUGUCUAAAAUGCUAUUUUUACUGUUUCUCAGAUGUUCUGUAUCUCAAGUGCAUUCAGAGAGAAUGGUUUUUGCUAAUGCUAUCUCCUAACUGAAGUUACUAAUGUCAAUCCAAAUGAUCAUCAUUUUACAUUUAAACUAUUAAUCACAAAUAACAAAGCAGGACCUUCUGCUUGAUUUACUAGAUCAGCAACUCCAGACAUGUCCUUGCAAUAAAGUAUGAGCAGAAGAAGCUUGUCCUUGCAAACUGCAUUCAGACAUCUUGUUUUGUGUCAGAGUUGGUAAAAUAAGACAUAUGAGUAAAGUAUUUAUGCAACCUAUCCUCUAUUCUCUCCAGAUGAAGCAUACAGGUUCCUUUUCAUGUCUACUCUGGAAUAAAUGAACUUCUACCAAGUCCAUGUAACAUUAUUCCACAAGGUAUUGCUUUUUGAAGUUCUUGAGUUUCAUCCUGAGUUACGUCUACCCACAACCCCAAACAACUAUAUUUUAAAUCUGAAGCCGUAUUCUUCCAAAUUUGCACCAAGAGAAAACAGCAGAUAAAAUUCAUGAAUGUAUUUUAUGUCCCCGUAUUCUUUUGUU